GUUUGAACAAAUAUUCAUUUGGUAUGUGUACAAAAAUAGCAAGCUUUUAUCUGAUUUUUUUAUAAUUAGCGGGAUGGAAUUACACUUUUAGAUACAAAAUAGGGUCAUACAAUUGAGUUAAGUAAUGAUUUGGUCCACCUAAAAGAAGGUUAACAAUUAUCAUUUCGGAAGCUGUCAGCCUUUCAAAACCCCCUUAACAUAAAAUUAUUCAUAUUCUUAUUUCUAUAAUUUUGGUAAAAUUUAUCCAAAAAGAGUACAACACACUGUUAAAAUAUUAUUCAGAAAGUGGGAUUUUUUUAAUCUUUCAUUUAUUGUCUCAAAGCAAUGCGCUACGAAAUACCUGUGGUCUCGGACCAGUUAUAUAUAAGACAUAUAUUACCAAAAC
This 385-nucleotide long non-coding RNA is filed under the name Mytilus galloprovincialis (Mediterranean mussel). Lineage: Eukaryota; Metazoa; Mollusca; Bivalvia; Mytilida; Mytilidae. The record is from RNAcentral.